CUUGACCCCAUCAUUGACGGAUUUCACCUCACUCGAGUCCUUAUGGACGGUGGCAGCAGUCUGAACCUGCUCUAUCAGGAUACAGUGCGUAAAAUGGGCAUAGACCCCUCGAGGGUCAAACCUACCAAAACCACCUUUAAAGGUGUCAUCCCAGGUGUAAAGGCCUAUUGCACGGGCUCAAUAAAACUAGAAGUAGUCUUCGGAUCUCCGGACAACUUCCGAAGCGAGGAGUUAAUCUUCGAUAUCGUUCCCUUCCGCAGUGGCUAUCAUGCACUGCUCGGACGAACUGCAUUUGCCAGAUUCAAUGCGGUACCACAUUAUGCAUACUUCAAGCUCAAAAUGCCAGGACCUCGCGGGGUUAUAAUAGUUAAUGGAAACACAGAACGCUCGCUCUGCAUGGAGGAUCACACUGCAGCCCUCGCAGCAGAAGCGCAAAGCAGCCUUACGAGGCAACCGCCAAUUCGUCGAAAAAGACCCCAGACACCUGCAAGAGGAUCGCCAGGCACGUUUAGAGCU
This 516-nucleotide ribosomal RNA is filed under the name Triticum aestivum (bread wheat). RNAcentral describes it as "partial small subunit ribosomal RNA". Lineage: Eukaryota; Viridiplantae; Streptophyta; Magnoliopsida; Poales; Poaceae. The record is from RNAcentral.